GCAAACUUGGUCAUUUAGAGGAAGUAAAAGUCGUAACAAGGUUUCCGUAGGUGAACCUGCGGAAGGAUCAUUACCGAACCGUCGACAGGUGCUGUUGCUGGCUCUCUAACGGGGGCAUGUGCACGCCCUGUUUACACAUCCACUCACACCUGUGCACCCUCUGUAGUUCUAUGGUCUGGGGGACCCAGUCCUCCUUCCGUAGCUCUACGUCUUUACACACUCACUGUAACGAUGUCUCAUGGAAUGUUUUUCGCGUUUAACGCAAUACAAUACAACUUUCAGCAACGGAUCUCUUGGCUCUCGCAUCGAUGAAGAACGCAGC
This 322-nucleotide unclassified non-coding RNA is filed under the name uncultured fungus. RNAcentral's name for it is "partial contains small subunit ribosomal RNA, internal transcribed spacer 1, and 5.8S ribosomal RNA". The stretch from base 1 to 73 matches the Rfam family "Eukaryotic small subunit ribosomal RNA", at positions 1759 to 1831 of the family's 1831-position model. Lineage: Eukaryota; Fungi. The record is from RNAcentral.